Flavobacterium fontis is the source of this 110-nucleotide ribosomal RNA. The record is from Rfam. NCBI's taxonomy places the organism in Bacteria, Pseudomonadati, Bacteroidota, Flavobacteriia, Flavobacteriales, Flavobacteriaceae.
UAAGGUGGUUAUUGCGUCGGGGCUCACCUCUUCCCAUUCCGAACAGAGAAGUUAAGCCCGACAGCGCAGAUGGUACUGCAUAACUGUGGGAGAGUAUGUCGCCGCCUUGU